Non-coding RNA from Schistosoma mansoni, 45 nucleotides. The record is from Rfam. NCBI's taxonomy places the organism in Eukaryota, Metazoa, Platyhelminthes, Trematoda, Strigeidida, Schistosomatidae.
AUCCAGAUGAUGAGUCCCGAAUGGAACGAAACGUGCGUCUUGGAU